RNAcentral lists this ribosomal RNA (395 nucleotides) under uncultured bacterium. RNAcentral describes it as "partial 16S ribosomal RNA". It matches the Rfam family "Bacterial small subunit ribosomal RNA", at positions 338 to 731 of the family's 1533-position model. The record is from RNAcentral.
CCUACGGGAGGCAGCAGUGAGGAAUAUUGGUCAAUGGGCGCGAGCCUGAACCAGCCAAGUCGCGUGAAGGAAGACUGCCCUAUGGAUUGUAAACUUCUUUUGUCAGGGAGUAAAAGGAGCCACGCGUGCCGUUCCGAGAGUACUCUAUGAAAAAGCAUCGGCUAACUCCGUGCCAGCAGCCGCGGUAAUACGGAGGAUGCGAGCGUUAUCCGGAUUUAUUGGGUUUAAAGGGUGCGAAGGCGGGUGGUAAAGUCAGUGGUAAAAUUUGGCGGCUAAACCUAAAAUUGCAGUUGAAACUGGGUGUCUUGAGUGCAGUAGAGGUAGGCGGAAUGCGUGGUGUAGCGGUGAAAUGCAUAGAUAUCACGAAGAACUCCGAUUGCGAAGGCAGCCUACUG